Molecule: long non-coding RNA, 1277 nt
Filed under: Phoenix dactylifera (date palm)
Lineage: Eukaryota; Viridiplantae; Streptophyta; Magnoliopsida; Arecales; Arecaceae
Description: long non-coding RNA (PDAC_LNC008629)
Source: RNAcentral
UUAUUAGGAGUAUGGGACUAUAACCACCCUUGGAUUAAUGCCAAGUGUCCAAUCCUUAUGCUCAAAGAUGCAUGACAUGUGUCUAUUUAAUCAAUUGAUUAAUUUCCUAAUCAUAUUAGGAUUCCUAAUCUCAUUAGGAGAAUUAAUUGAUUUGGGAGCAUGCAUCUUAUGACGCGAUGUGGACUUUAAAGUCCGCAUAGUGUGAACAUGACUUAAGUCAUAUUCAUCCUACAACGACAUGUGGUCUUUAAAAUCCGCACAAACCUUGGUUUAAUCAAAUUGACCCAAUCAUGAACCCAAAUCAAUUUGGGUCGAACCCAAAUUGAUUUGGCUCAUUAAAUCAGCCCAAUUGCAAUCCAAUUGCAAUUGAUUCCACUUAAUUCUUCUUCCAUUAACUCACUAACACUUAGUGGGUUAAUUCAAUCACCAAUCAUAUUGAUGAUUGAUUUCUAUUAUGAUUUCAAAUCACAAUUAUGCUAGUCUGACUAAUUAAAUCCUCUAUGUGUGUGAUCCCGUAGGUUCUAUUCUGACUGGUAGUGAGAAAUAUUGAGAUCUCCAUCUCAAUAUCGCUGAAACUCCUUUCAGUGGACUGAAACGAUUUCAGUUCUACUCUUAUAGUUCACUGAUCACCAAGUGAAUGCCUUCGAGUCUCACAAUCCACUAGUGACACCUAGCAGUAUGUGGUGGCAACCCAGCAGAAUGGAAUAUCUGAACCUCUUGGUGCAGUUAGCGUAUGAUACAGUCCCUCUAUCAUGGAUUCCGACAUGACGGAGGUUAUGGAUAUCUCGUCAAACCCCAUCGUCUGUCAUAUGUCAAAUUUAUACGACUUCCAGUUCGAGAUAUAGAAAAUUCUUUUUCCAAAAUACUUGGCCAGAAAUUUAUCGAAUUCAGUCUCAUAAAUCAUAUAGGAUUACUCCUAAUCUAUCAAGGUCGAUAGAUCCCAUCUAGAUGUAACCCUAUUCCAAAAUGAACUUACUGCAGCCAAUUCGCACUAUAAGGACCCGAAUGACUAGGGCCCAAGUUCACAUGCUUGUCAAACUACAGCAACCUCACAGUGAAUAGCUGAGGCAUCGCAGGUCAAAGGACCAAUCAUACAACUGCAGCAUAAGUAGUCACUGACGAGUGGAUAGACAUCCAUGUGACUACUAUCUUUAGUCACACUCAGUACCUUGUUUUCUAACAAGUACUUGCAUAAUCACUCCAGUGUCUCUACACCGUGGACUCGAGACUCGUCCAUCUGACUAAGUGAUUUGUGCACUAAUCUCAGCGGAUCGANN